This 440-nucleotide ribosomal RNA is filed under the name uncultured bacterium. RNAcentral describes it as "partial 16S ribosomal RNA". It matches the Rfam family "Bacterial small subunit ribosomal RNA", at positions 338 to 795 of the family's 1533-position model. The record is from RNAcentral.
CCUACGGGAGGCAGCAGUGGGGAAUAUUGCACAAUGGGGGAAACCCUGAUGCAGCGACGCCGCGUGAGUGAAGAAGUAAUUCGUUAUGUAAAGCUCUAUCAGCAGGGAAGAAAAUGACGGUACCUGAGUAAGAAGCCCCGUCUAACUACGUGCCAACAGCCGCGGUAAUACGUAGGGGGCAAGCGUUAUCCGGAUUUACUGGGGGUAAAGGGGGGGUAGACGGCAUUGCAGGUUUGGAGUGAAAGGCGGGGGCCCAACCCCCGGACUGCUCUGGAAACUGUACGGCUGGAGUGCAGGAGAGGUAAGUGGAAUGCCUAGUGUAGCGGUGAAAUGCGUAGAUAUUAGGAGGAACACCAGUGGCGAAGGCGGCUUACUGGACUGUAACUGACGUUGAGGCUCGAAAGCGUGGGGAGCAAACAGGAUUAGAUACCCCUGUAAUC